RNAcentral lists this ribosomal RNA (164 nucleotides) under uncultured bacterium. RNAcentral's name for it is "partial 16S ribosomal RNA". It matches the Rfam family "Bacterial small subunit ribosomal RNA", at positions 355 to 511 of the family's 1533-position model. The record is from RNAcentral.
UAGGGAAUCUUCCACAAUGGACGAAAGUCUGAUGGAGCAACGCCGCGUGAGUGAAGAAGGGUUUCGGCUCGUAAAACUCUGUUGUUAAAGAAGAACAUAUCUGAGAGUAACUGUUCAGGUAUUGACGGUAUUUAACCAGAAAGCCACGGCUAACUACGUGCCAC